RNAcentral lists this ribosomal RNA (479 nucleotides) under uncultured bacterium. RNAcentral's name for it is "partial 16S ribosomal RNA". It matches the Rfam family "Bacterial small subunit ribosomal RNA", at positions 28 to 507 of the family's 1533-position model. The record is from RNAcentral.
GAUGAACGCUAGCGGGAGGCCUAACACAUGCAAGCCGAGCGGUAUUGUUUCUUCGGUAAUGAGAGAGCGGCGUACGGGUGCGUAACACGUGUGCAACCUGCCUUUAUCUGGGGGAUAGCCUUUCGAAAGGAAGAUUAAUACUCCAUAAUAUAUUGAACGGCAUCGUUUAAUAUUGAAAGCUCCGGCGGCUAGCGAUGGGCACGCGCAAGAUUAGCUAGUUGGUGAGGUAACGGCUCACCAAGGCGAUGAUCUUGAGGGGGCCUGAGAGGGUGAUCCACCAGACUGGUAAUGAGACACGGACCACAACCGGACGGGAGGCAGCAGUGAGGAAUACUAGGGAAGGGAGGCAAGCCUGAACCUGCCAUCCCGCGUGAAGGACGACUGCGCUAUGAGUUGUAAUCUUCUUUGGAAGAGAGACAAACCGACCCUCGAGAGCGUAGCUGAAGGUACUAAACGAAUAAGCACCGGCUAACUCCGUG